This is a long non-coding RNA of Protopterus annectens (West African lungfish), 623 nucleotides long. RefSeq lists it as uncharacterized. The transcript has 4 exons. The record is from RefSeq and is a predicted model, not a curated record. Lineage: Eukaryota; Metazoa; Chordata; Ceratodontiformes; Protopteridae.
UCCAUCUCGGGCUGUGCGUACGCAUUAAUCGGCUGUUUGCUUGGCAGUCUGCCAGUGUGUUGCCUUGCCUCCAUCCAUUUUUUUGCGUAGAGUAAGGAUCCUUGAGCUAUUGCAGAGGCAGCCCGCUGCUCCAUAUUUGGCUUCUGUUACACAUUUACAUACUGAAGAGUGAGAGAGUGGAGCAGCAGCUAAGUAGUGCUGCAGAUAUCAGUCUACUACCGAGAAGGAGACAGGCAGAGCUACUGCACUGCAAGGAGAAGGACAGGGUCAAGAACUGGACUGCUGCGUGCCGGCCGGGCCCAUCUCACAGUCAAUAUAUUUACAGAAGACAUUACCUAUCUGAGUGAAUAUUUACCGUUAGUAGAAAACUGUGAGACAAAAAAUGUAUUCCUCGUGUUUCUGUCCCAUGUGUUGCCCUGUCUAUGGAAUCGACAAACAAGUUUAAAAGAAUCUGAAGUGUACAAAAUAAAGUGAGCUGGAUAAAAGCAAGUGUUGCGUGGGAAGCAGACUCAAAGACAUCUUUAUGAGACAUGGUUAUUCAAAGUCCGUGAGCACGGGAAUCUUCAAAGGGUGAAAUCAUCAGAUAUGACCUGGACAGAGUGAUAUGAUCAUAGAAGGCAGGG